AAUGAACGCUGGCGGCAGGCCUAACACAUGCAAGUCGAACGGAUCCUUCGGGAUUAGUGGCGGACGGGUGCGUAACGCGUGGGAGCAUACCCAAAGGUACGGAAUAGCCUCGGGAAACUGGGAGUAAUACCGUAUGUGCUCGAAAGAGGAAAGAUUUAUCGCCUUUGUAUUGGCCCGCGUUGGAUUAGGUAGUUGGUGGGGUAAUGGCCUCCCAAGCCGAAGAUCCAUAGCUCGUUUGAGAGGAUGAUCAGCCACACUGGGAAUGAGACACGGACCAGACUCCUACGGGAGGCAGCAGUGGGGAAUCUUAGACAAUGGGGGAAACCCUGAUCUAGCCAUGCCGCGUGAUGGAUGAAGGCCUUAGGGUUGUAAAGAUAUUUCAGGUGGGAAGAUAAUGACUGUACCACCAGAAGAAGCCCCGGCUAACUCCGUGCCAGCCGCCGCAGUAA
Molecule: ribosomal RNA, 449 nt
Filed under: uncultured bacterium
Lineage: Bacteria
Description: partial 16S ribosomal RNA
Rfam family: Bacterial small subunit ribosomal RNA
Source: RNAcentral